GCGCAGCAGGCGAGAAACUUCACACUGUGCGAAAGCACGAUGAGGGAAUCCCAAGUGCUUGCACGUAAGUGUAAGCUGUUUCUCUGUCUAAAACGCAGAGAGAGUAAGGGCUGGGUAAGACGGGUGCCAGCCGCCGCGGUAAUACCUGCAGCUCAAGUGGUGACCGUUAUUAUUGGGCCUAAAACGUCCGUAGCCGGUUUAAUAAAUGCCUGGGUAAAUUGUGUAGCUUAACUAUACGAAUUCCGGGUAGACUGUUAAACUUGAGACCGGGAGAAGUUAGAGGUACUCCUGGGGUAGAGGUGAAAAUUCUGUAAUCCUAGGGGGACCACCAGUGGCGAAGGCGUCUAACUAGAACGGGUCUGACGGUGAGGGACGAAG
Molecule: ribosomal RNA, 378 nt
Filed under: uncultured microorganism
Description: bacterial SSU rRNA
Rfam family: Archaeal small subunit ribosomal RNA
Source: RNAcentral